This 228-nucleotide ribosomal RNA is filed under the name uncultured bacterium. Its description in RNAcentral is "partial 16S ribosomal RNA". It matches the Rfam family "Bacterial small subunit ribosomal RNA", at positions 103 to 334 of the family's 1533-position model. The record is from RNAcentral.
CGGGUGAGUAAUACAUCGGAACGUGUCUUCUAGUGGGGGAUAACUGCCCGAAAGGGCAGCUAAUACCGCAUGAGACCUGAGGGUGAAAGCGGGGGAUCGCAAGACCUCGCGCUGGAAGAGCGGCCGAUGUCCGAUUAGCUAGUUGGUGAGGUAAAGGCUCACCAAGGCGACGAUCGGUAGCUGGUCUGAGAGGACAACCAGCCACACUGGGACUGAGACACGGCCCAG